RNAcentral lists this ribosomal RNA (617 nucleotides) under uncultured Alphaproteobacteria bacterium. Its description in RNAcentral is "bacterial SSU rRNA". It matches the Rfam family "Bacterial small subunit ribosomal RNA", at positions 57 to 720 of the family's 1533-position model. Lineage: Bacteria; Pseudomonadati; Pseudomonadota; Alphaproteobacteria. The record is from RNAcentral.
GCAAGUCGAACGAGGGCUUCGGCCCUAGUGGCGCACGGGUGAGUAACGCGUGGGAACCUGCCCUGUGGUACGGAAUAACUCCGGGAAACUGGAGCUAAUACCGUAUGUGUCCUGCGGGACAAAGAUUUAUCGCCAUGGGAUGGGCCCGCGUAGGAUUAGCUUGUUGGUGGGGUAACGGCCUACCAAGGCAACGAUCCUUAGCUGGUCUGAGAGGAUGAUCAGCCACACUGGGACUGAGACACGGCCCAGACUCCUACGGGAGGCAGCAGUGGGGAAUAUUGGACAACGGGCGCAAGCCUGAUCCAGCAAUGCCGCGUGAGUGAUGAAGGCCUUCGGGUUGUAAAGCUCUUUCGCACGCGACGAUGAUGACGGUAGCGUGAGAAGAAGCCCCGGCUAACUUCGUGCCAGCAGCCGCGGUAAUACGAAGGGGGCUAGCGUUGUUCGGAAUUACUGGGCGUAAAGGGCGCGUAGGCGGUACUUCAAGUCAGGCGUGAAAGCCCCGGGCUCAACCUGGGAACCGCGCUUGAGACUGGAGAACUAGAGUUCGGGAGAGGAUGGUGGAAUUCCCAGUGUAGAGGUGAAAUUCGUAGAUAUUGGGAAGAACACCGAUGGCGAAG